AAACUUACAUGACUAACAAAGACAUCGUUUUACAUCGUGACCGAAUACAGACAAAGUACAGACACAAGUGCACCAACACUCAGGAGGGGUGCCCGCCUAAGGUCGGCCCAAGUGGUCGAGCCUACGUCAUAAUUUGUGGCAGUGGAGGCCUGCGUUCGCGCGGCCUCUGC
This 170-nucleotide non-coding RNA is filed under the name Helianthus annuus (common sunflower). The record is from RNAcentral. Lineage: Eukaryota; Viridiplantae; Streptophyta; Magnoliopsida; Asterales; Asteraceae.